This 377-nucleotide ribosomal RNA is filed under the name uncultured bacterium. Its description in RNAcentral is "bacterial SSU rRNA". It matches the Rfam family "Bacterial small subunit ribosomal RNA", at positions 521 to 898 of the family's 1533-position model. The record is from RNAcentral.
UAAUACGAAGGGGGCUAGCGUUGCUCGGAAUUACUGGGCGUAAAGGGAGCGUAGGCGGACAUUUAAGUCAGGGGUGAAAUCCCGGGGCUCAACCUCGGAAUUGCCUUUGAUACUGGGUGUCUUGAGUAUGAGAGAGGUGUGUGGAACUCCGAGUGUAGAGGUGAAAUUCGUAGAUAUUCGGAAGAACACCAGUGGCGAAGGCGACACACUGGCUCAUUACUGACGCUGAGGCUCGAAAGCGUGGGGAGCAAACAGGAUUAGAUACCCUGGUAGUCCACGCCGUAAACGAUGAUUGCUAGUUGUCGGGAUGCAUGCAUUUCGGUGACGCAGCUAACGCAUUAAGCAAUCCGCCUGGGGAGUACGGUCGCAAGAUUAAA